Long non-coding RNA from Mustela lutreola (European mink), 545 nucleotides. RefSeq lists it as uncharacterized. The record is from RefSeq and is a predicted model, not a curated record. The transcript is spliced from 2 exons. Lineage: Eukaryota; Metazoa; Chordata; Mammalia; Carnivora; Mustelidae.
AUAUGUGGAUGAAACUCACGUCAUUCCCUGAUAAUGUCUGAGUGCCUCUUCUCAACCCUGCCCUCAUGGUCACCUCCCCCACAGGGCUCCACCCCUCAGCCCUGCACAGGGACCUCCCCUGCACCCGGCGCCUGGUGGAUGUGGCAGCUCGAGCUCUCCCUGCGGGGAGGCCCACGGUCACCAGCAUAUGUCCUGGUCAUCUGUCCAUGCCGGACCACCAGCCUCAUGGAAAGUCACUCUGCUGUUGCAGCGACUUCAGGUAGCUCCCCGAGUCAGCAUCAGCCUCUCUAUCUCUGAAAUGAAGGCAAAAAGGCUGGUCCUGGCAGCUGGCAGGAAAGCCGGGGGGCACCCAGGAGAGAGCACCAGCACCUGCUGUUAACACAUCUUCGAGUCACAACAUACUUCGUAGCGGACUGUACUUGAGAACAGUCUGGGUUGAUCCACAUGCUCUGCAGGUGUCCAUGAAAAAUGGCUUCCUCUUGCUCUCUGGGUAUCUGUGGAAUGAAAAAUAAGCAAUCCUGGCAAGAAUAAAGUUGGUCCUAUGA